RNAcentral lists this ribosomal RNA (439 nucleotides) under uncultured bacterium. RNAcentral's name for it is "partial 16S ribosomal RNA". It matches the Rfam family "Bacterial small subunit ribosomal RNA", at positions 339 to 795 of the family's 1533-position model. The record is from RNAcentral.
CUACGGGCUGCAGCAGUGGGGAAUUUUGCGCAAUGGGGGAAACCCUGACGCAGCGAUACCGCGUGAGUGAAGAAGGCCUUUGGGUCGUAAAGCUCUUUUCUAAGGGAAGAUAGUGACGGUACCUUAGGAAUAAGCGUCGGCUAACUCCGUGCCAGCAGCCGCGGUAAUACGGAGGGCGCGAGCGUUGUUCGGAUUUACUGGGCGUAAAGGGCGCGUAGGCGGCCUGGCAAGUUAAGGGUGAAAUCCCGGGGCUUAACCCCGGAACUGCUCUUAAAACUGCCAAGCUAGAGAUGGUCAGAGGCGGGUGGAAUUCUAGGUGUAGAGGUGAAAUUCGUAGAUAUCUGGAGGAACACCGGUGGCGAAGGCGGCCCGCUGGGGCCAUUCUGACGCUGAGGCGCGAAAGCGUGGGGAGCGAACGGGAUUAGAUACCCGGGUAGUC